UAAUGUCAGCGAGCCUUCUCU
RNAcentral lists this non-coding RNA (21 nucleotides) under Caenorhabditis elegans. Lineage: Eukaryota; Metazoa; Nematoda; Chromadorea; Rhabditida; Rhabditidae. The record is from RNAcentral.